Long non-coding RNA from Apis laboriosa (Himalayan honeybee), 823 nucleotides. RefSeq lists it as uncharacterized. NCBI's taxonomy places the organism in Eukaryota, Metazoa, Arthropoda, Insecta, Hymenoptera, Apidae. The transcript has 3 exons. The record is from RefSeq and is a predicted model, not a curated record.
UCUCCACGGUUACGGUCACGAUUUCGGAGACACUGGUGCGCAACCGACCGUGUAAUUUACUGCGAAUCAGCGUCAAUUUAGCGAUACUCGACUAGAUCAUCGCCAACCUCUUUUAUCUAUUCUGUUCGAGUAGAUAGAGUUCAUUGGAAUUAUGAGAAAAGCGUAUUAUUGGAACGAAUUUUUAAGAGUAUCAGUAAUAUAAUUAGAAAAGAGAAGAAACAGAAAUAAUAUCAAAUCGUUAGUAGCAAAAUACCAAUGAAGUAGAAAGGAAAAUAUAAGAGACGAGCGUACAUAGGGAUUAAAUCGUGUACGAGGCUCCACCUAUGAAAAGCAUUGCGCUCGACCGCUUGCAAGUCCAAUGCCAGGACUUUUCAUGCAACAUUGUGAGGAACGUAUGUAGCGCUUCCGUAAUAUUACCUCAAAGAUUAUACGGAACAGGAUACUUUUAUUAAACUAUCCGGGACAGAAAUCUCGUCAGCGGUCGUAAACUUCAAAGUACCGACGAUAAGAACCGUGGAGGACACGAAUCGAUAUCAAGGCGGUGUCCUAUAGGGAAAUUCUCUUUCAUGGAAUGCGGACUCAUUGCCCGGCGUUAUAAAAUUAAGCAUCGCGUUUCAACAUGCAAUCGCGCUGUAUGCUACCAGUUUCUCGCGAUGAUUCGUUCACAGGAGAAUGCAAGCUGAUUGCCUGAAACAUUAUGACUGUGGUAUACAGGAUGAAUAUUUGUUGAUUUUUAAUUUAAUAAUUUUUAUCUAACUUAUCUCUGUUGAUUGGAAAAAUCGAAUUAACUCGUUAUCUAUAUUGUUAAUAUUUUUAAUUUUAU